UGAGGAAUAUUGGUCAAUGGUCGGCAGACUGAACCAGCCAAGUCGCGUGAGGGAAGACGGCCCUACGGGUUGUAAACCUCUUUUGUCGGAGAGUAAAGUACGCUACGCGUAGCGUAUUGCAAGUAUCCGAAGAAAAAGCAUCGGCUAACUCCGUGCCAGCAGCCGCGGUAAUACGGAGGAUGCGAGCGUUAUCCGGAUUUAUUGGGUUUAAAGGGUGCGUAGGCGGCACGCCAAGUCAGCGGUGAAAUUUCCGGGCUCAACCCGGAAUGUGCCGUUGAAACUGGCGAGCUAGAGUGCACAAGAGGCAGGCGGAAUGCGUGGUGUAGCGGUGAAAUGCAUAGAUAUCACGCAGAACCCCGAUUGCGAAGGCAGCCUGCUAGGGUGCGACAGACGCUGAGGCACGAAAGCGUGGGUAUCGAACAGGAUUAGAUACCCUGGUAGUCCACGCAGUAAACGAUGAAUACUAACUGUUUGCGAUACAAUGUAAGCGGUACAGCGAAAGCGUUAAGUAUUCCACCUGGGGAGUACGCCGGCAACGGUGAAACUCAAAGGAAUUGACGGGGGCCCGCACAAGCGGAGGAACAUGUGGUUUAAUUCGAUGAUACGCGAGGAACCUUACCCGGGCUCAAACGCAGGGGGAAUGCCGGUGAAAGUCGGCAGCUAGUAAUAGUCACCUGCGAGGUGCUGCAUGGUUGUCGUCAGCUCGUGCCGUGAGGUGUCGGCUUAAGUGCCAUAACGAGCGCAACCCCUAUUGACAGUUACUAACGGGUCAAGCCGAGGACUCUGUCGAGACUGCCGGCGCAAGCCGCGAGGAAGGUGGGGAUGACGUCAAAUCAGCACGGCCCUUACGUCCGGGGCGACACACGUGUUACAAUGGCAGGUACAGAAGGCAGCCAGUCAGCAAUGACGCGCGAAUCCCGAAAACCUGUCUCAGUUCGGAUUGGAGUCUGCAACCCGACUCCAUGAAGCUGGAUUCGCUAGUAAUCGCGCAUCAGCCAUGGCGCGGUGAAUACGUUCCC
Molecule: ribosomal RNA, 1019 nt
Filed under: uncultured bacterium
Lineage: Bacteria
Description: bacterial SSU rRNA
Rfam family: Bacterial small subunit ribosomal RNA
Source: RNAcentral